RNAcentral lists this transfer RNA (69 nucleotides) under Ixodes scapularis (black-legged tick). It matches the Rfam family "tRNA". Rfam says of the family: Transfer RNA (tRNA) molecules are approximately 80 nucleotides in length. Their secondary structure includes four short double-helical elements and three loops (D, anti-codon, and T loops). The record is from Rfam by way of RNAcentral. Lineage: Eukaryota; Metazoa; Arthropoda; Arachnida; Ixodida; Ixodidae.
UCCUAAUUAGCUCGGUAGAGCGCUCCACUGGAAAUGGAGAGGUCCCUGGUUCGAUACCAGGACCAGGCA